This 301-nucleotide ribosomal RNA is filed under the name uncultured bacterium. RNAcentral's name for it is "partial 16S ribosomal RNA". It matches the Rfam family "Bacterial small subunit ribosomal RNA", at positions 509 to 807 of the family's 1533-position model. The record is from RNAcentral.
CAGCCGCCGCGGUAAUACGAAGGGGGCUAGCGUUGUUCGGAUUUACUGGGCGUAAAGCGCACGUAGGCGGACUUUUAAGUCAGGGGUGAGAUCCCGGGGCUCAACCCCGGAACUGCCUUUGAUACUGGAGAUCUUGAGUUCGGAAGAGGUUGGUGGAACAGCUAGUGUAGAGGUGAAAUUCGUAGAUAUUAGCUAGAACACCAGUGGCGAAGGCGGCCAACUGGUCCGAUACUGACGCUGAGGUGCGAAAGCGUGGGGAGCAAACAGGAUUAGAUACCCCAGUAGUCCCUGUCUCUUAUAC